RNAcentral lists this long non-coding RNA (295 nucleotides) under Mytilus galloprovincialis (Mediterranean mussel). Lineage: Eukaryota; Metazoa; Mollusca; Bivalvia; Mytilida; Mytilidae. The record is from RNAcentral.
UGGAGAACCAAAAAUCCAAAUAAAGUUCAAUUUACAUGGAGCAGAAAAGAUAGGUCAGAGUCAACACGAAUAGAUUAUUUUUUAAUAGCUCCAGAAGUAUUCAAAAACUGUGUUUCAUGUGACAUUAGACCAAUAGUAUUACAAUACACAGACCACAACUGUGUUUCUUUAAAAAUAAAUCUAAACAGAGGCCAAAAAAGGAAAAAGGGUACUGGAAAUUAAACAGCAGUGUACUUCAAAAUGAAGACUAUGCUGAAAAUAUUAGGAAAAUAAUUUUAAAAAAUUUAAAAACAAA